RNAcentral lists this unclassified non-coding RNA (27 nucleotides) under Mus musculus (house mouse). RNAcentral describes it as "oocyte_clustered_small_RNA8817". The record is from RNAcentral. Lineage: Eukaryota; Metazoa; Chordata; Mammalia; Rodentia; Muridae.
AGUCCCAGUGCCACAAGGGAGACAGAG